RNAcentral lists this ribosomal RNA (468 nucleotides) under Triticum aestivum (bread wheat). RNAcentral describes it as "partial small subunit ribosomal RNA". Lineage: Eukaryota; Viridiplantae; Streptophyta; Magnoliopsida; Poales; Poaceae. The record is from RNAcentral.
AUGGCUGUUUCCUCCUGGGUUCCACCUUGUCUUCCCGACCCCGCCGCCGCCGCCUCAGGCUCAGGCGAGUCAGGCCUGGUCCUCCUCGACAGGUGGUGCUACAUCGCCGACCUUCCCAACAACACCACCGCCGAGGGCACCACCAGCAGCGGCUUGCCUAUCAAGGUGACCCUCCGCGCCGCCCGCCCGCCACAUCUCUCCCACUUUUGUGUCCACUGCCCUGGCCUGGAAUUCCGCAGAACAGGGCCCAAGAUUGUGGCCACCGACGCAGAUCUCGUCCUCCUCUGCGUUCCCAUCCACCCCAACAGCACCACCGGAACAUCGGACUGGGACUACUUCGUCUACAGCCCGCGCGCCCAGCGGCUAGAUCUGCUACCCAACCCGGACCCCAUAUGGCUAGACGACCCCGCAACUGCCCUCAUUAGCCGCCAAGACGGCGGCUUGCUAUGUCGUUGCUGCUCUCGGUGA